Molecule: ribosomal RNA, 1249 nt
Filed under: 'Phyllanthus emblica' witches'-broom phytoplasma
Lineage: Bacteria; Bacillati; Mycoplasmatota; Mollicutes; Acholeplasmatales; Acholeplasmataceae
Description: bacterial SSU rRNA
Rfam family: Bacterial small subunit ribosomal RNA
Source: RNAcentral
GAAACGACUGCUAAGACUGGAUAGGAGACAAGAAGGCAUCUUCUUGUUUUUAAAAGACCUAGCAAUAGGUAUGCUUAGGGAGGAGCUUGCGUCACAUUAGUUAGUUGGUGGGGUAAAGGCCUACCAAGACUAUGAUGUGUAGCCGGGCUGAGAGGUUGAACGGCCACAUUGGGACUGAGACACGGCCCAAACUCCUACGGGAGGCAGCAGUAGGGAAUUUUCGGCAAUGGAGGAAACUCUGACCGAGCAACGCCGCGUGAACGAUGAAGUAUUUCGGUACGUAAAGUUCUUUUAUUAGGGAAGAAUAAAUGAUGGAAAAAUCAUUCUGACGGUACCUAAUGAAUAAGCCCCGGCUAACUAUGUGCCAGCAGCCGCGGUAAUACAUAGGGGGCAAGCGUUAUCCGGAAUUAUUGGGCGUAAAGGGUGCGUAGGCGGUUAAAUAAGUUUAUGGUCUAAGUGCAAUGCUCAACAUUGUGAUGCUAUAAAAACUGUUUAGCUAGAGUAAGAUAGAGGCAAGUGGAAUUCCAUGUGUAGUGGUAAAAUGCGUAAAUAUAUGGAGGAACACCAGUAGCGAAGGCGGCUUGCUGGGUCUUUACUGACGCUGAGGCACGAAAGCGUGGGGAGCAAACAGGAUUAGAUACCCUGGUAGUCCACGCCGUAAACGAUGAGUACUAAACGUUGGGUAAAACCAGUGUUGAAGUUAACACAUUAAGUACUCCGCCUGAGUAGUACGUACGCAAGUAUGAAACUUAAAGGAAUUGACGGGACUCCGCACAAGCGGUGGAUCAUGUUGUUUAAUUCGAAAGGUACCCGAAAAAACCUCACCAGGUCUUGACAUGCUUCUGCAAAGCUGUAGAAACAACAGUGGAGGUUAUCAGUUGCACAGGUGGUGCAUGGUUGUCGUCAGCUCGUGUCGUGAGAUGUUGGGUUAAGUCCCGCAACGAGCGCAACCCUUAUUGUUAGUUACCAGCACGUAAUGGUGGGGACUUUAGCAAGACUGCCAGUGAUAAAUUGGAGGAAGGUGGGGAUGACGUCAAAUCAUCAUGCCCCUUAUGACCUGGGCUACAAACGUGAUACAAUGGCUGUUACAAAGGGUAGCUGAAGCGCAAGUUUUUGGCGAAUCUCAAAAAAACAGUCUCAGUUCGGAUUGAAGUCUGCAACUCGACUUCAUGAAGUUGGAAUCGCUAGUAAUCGCGAAUCAGCAUGUCGCGGUGAAUACGUUCUCGGGGUUUGUACACACCGCCCGUCA